Octopus sinensis (East Asian common octopus) is the source of this 325-nucleotide long non-coding RNA. RefSeq lists it as uncharacterized. The record is from RefSeq and is a predicted model, not a curated record. Lineage: Eukaryota; Metazoa; Mollusca; Cephalopoda; Octopoda; Octopodidae. The transcript has 2 exons.
UAUGAGAACAACUUUAUUAAAAUGGCAAAAACUUUAACCUAUCACAUUCGCUUCCACCAAAACUCGAGUGACACACCAAAGACCUACCUAAACUGCGACGGCAAUGCUAUCACUGCACCUUCGAAUGAUUUCAGUAUAAGUGUUCUCCAGAAUGUGGUUUCCCUCUUCGGCAAGGAACCAGAGAUGACAAUCACCAAACUAUGAAGAUAUCCGAACUUAAAAACCUUACGACAACUCACACACACACACUAUGAAGACAAUGCUCCAGCAUGGCCUCGGCCAUGGACCUCUUAAGACAAAAAAAAACAAACUAAAGAACAAAACA